UCAUAUAUAUGAAAACUACAAAGCAAAACCA
Molecule: non-coding RNA, 31 nt
Filed under: Mus musculus (house mouse)
Lineage: Eukaryota; Metazoa; Chordata; Mammalia; Rodentia; Muridae
Source: RNAcentral